GAGAGAUAAGAGAACAGUGCUGCCGCAGGACGUGCGUGCUGGCAGGCCUGGAGAGGAAGACCCAAGAAAGAGUGUCCACCAAGCUGGAGCCCAAUGGAUGAGCAGGCGUCAGCCAGUGAAGGUGCUGUACCGAGAGCAUUCCCCGGCGCUUGCUCUUAGCUAGGCCCAGCUGAACGCAGCUCGCGGUGUGUGGGAAGACGGAGGAUGAGAUUCCCAGCCGCAGGAUCAAAUCAGCAAGGGCCUCUUGGGCUGGGUGGAGAGGGUGGGACUUUUUCCCUGAGGGCAAUGGCCAGCCGGAGAAUUCCCAGGCCCUGGUAGAAUUCCAGAGCCUAGGGAAGGAGAGCACACGGAGUCCAGCUUCCCGUUCUCGCAGAAGUGGAGACUGGAGCCCAGAGAGGCUGUGAGAGCUGGCAGGCCCACACAGCGGGCUCGUGGCAGAGCCCAGGUGUCCUGACUUGGACAGCAGGGUUCCCCCACCGCGCCCACUGCCUCUAUUAUCUGCUAAGACCUACUUUUAGACCCAGGCAGGCACCUGCAAACAUCCCAACACCUCCACACGGCGGCGGAGGACAAAGAACGUGGGCCGACCGGGCUCCCUGGAGGGAGGCACAGCCCAGAUUCCCGGGGCAGCCAUCCUCCUCCUCUCUCCAGACUGGGGUGCCGGCUGUCUGCACCCCCCAACUCCUCCACACAUCCUUUCUGAGGCCCUGGUAAGUUUCCAUUUUGGCCCCGGCUGUCUGACUCAGGCUUGACCCAUCCUGUGGGACGUCGGCUGCAGAAAGUUGUAACCUUCCCUCUCCUACUGCUGAGCUUGGCCAUGCAUCUCAGUGCCCUGAGCCACGUCGUCCCCUCCUCUCCCUGGCAGGAUGAUCAGACAUGGCAAAGAACCCCUGGCUGCCCAGCCACUGGAACAAAAUAGAUGACCGCAGGGUGGGUCUCCCCAGAGACCACAUUCCCAGGGAGCCCUGGGCUGCAGACCAGAGACAAUAAGCCCAGUGGCUGUUUCCGAUUGAGGGCCUACUAUGUGCCAGGUUCUAAUGCAGCCAGUAUUACUG
This 1055-nucleotide long non-coding RNA is filed under the name Suricata suricatta (meerkat). RNAcentral's name for it is "lncRNA (ENSSSUG00005007466.1)". The record is from RNAcentral. Lineage: Eukaryota; Metazoa; Chordata; Mammalia; Carnivora; Herpestidae.